UAGUAAGCCGCAUGAGUCAUGGACCU
This 26-nucleotide non-coding RNA is filed under the name Mus musculus (house mouse). Lineage: Eukaryota; Metazoa; Chordata; Mammalia; Rodentia; Muridae. The record is from RNAcentral.